GACGAACGCUGGCGGCGUGCUUAACACAUGCAAGUCGAACGGAAAGGCCCUGGUUUUGUGGGGUGCUCGAGUGGCGAACGGGUGAGUAACACGUGAGUGACCUGCCCUUGACUUUGGGAUAACUUCAGGAAACUGGGGCUAAUACCGGAUAGGAGCUCCUGCUGCAUGGUGUGGGUGGGAAAGUUUCGGCGGUUGGGGAUGGACUCGCGGUUUAUCAGCUUGUUGGUGGGGUAGUGGCUUACCAAGGCUUUGACGGGUAGCCGGCCUGCGAGGGUGACCGGCCACAUUGGGACUGAGAUACGGCCCAGACUCCUACGGGAGGCAGCAGUGGGGAAUAUUGCACAAUGGGCGGAAGCCUGAUGCAGCAACGCCGCGUGCGGGAUGACGGCCUUCGGGUUGUAAACCGCUUUCGCCUGUGACGAAGCGUAAGUGACGGUAAUGGGUAAAGAAGCACCGGCUAACUACGUG
This 468-nucleotide ribosomal RNA is filed under the name uncultured bacterium. RNAcentral's name for it is "partial 16S ribosomal RNA". It matches the Rfam family "Bacterial small subunit ribosomal RNA", at positions 28 to 507 of the family's 1533-position model. The record is from RNAcentral.